AGGACGAACGCUGGCGGCGUGCUUAACACAUGCAAGUGGAGCGACGAACCAGGGCUUGCCCUGGGGCAGAGCCGCGAACGGGUGAGUAACACGUGGGUUACCUGCCUUGAUGACCGGGACAACCCGAGGAAACUCGGGCUAAUACCGGAUGUGCCCGCAAGGGGAAAGGAAGCUUCGGCCUCCGCAUCAAGAUGGGCCCGCGGCCCAUUAGCUUGUUGGUGAGGUAACGGCUCACCAAGGCUUCGAUGGGUAGCUGGUCUGAGAGGACGAUCAGCCACACUGGGACUGAGACACGGCCCAGACUCCUACGGGAGGCAGCAGUGGGGAAUCUUGCGCAAUGCGCGAAAGCGUGACGCAGCAACGCCGCGUGGGGGAAGAAGGCUUUCGGGUUGUAAACCCCUUUCAGUUGGGACGAAGCUUCUCCGGUGAAUAGCCGGACGGAGUGACGGUACCUUCACAAGAAGCACCGGCUAACUACGUGCCAGCAGCCGCGGU
Molecule: ribosomal RNA, 495 nt
Filed under: uncultured bacterium
Lineage: Bacteria
Description: SSU rRNA
Rfam family: Bacterial small subunit ribosomal RNA
Source: RNAcentral